AUUCCAAGCUUGAGUUUGAUCCUGGCUCAGGAUGAACGCUGGCGGCGUGCCUAAUACAUGCAAGUCGAGCGAGGUCCUUCGGGGCCUAGCGGCGGACGGGUGAGUAACACGUGGGUAACCUGCCUGUAAGACCGGGAUAACUUCGGGAAACCGAAGCUAAUACCGGAUAAUUUCGAGCAUCGCAUGAUGCUUGAUGGAAAGACGGCUUCGGCUGUCACUUACAGAUGGACCCGCGUCGCAUUAGCUAGUUGGUGAGGUAACGGCUCACCAAGGCGACGAUGCGUAGCCGACCUGAGAGGGUGAUCGGCCACACUGGGACUGAGACACGGCCCAGACUCCUACGGGAGGCAGCAGUAGGGAAUAUUGGACAAUGGGCGCAAGCCUGAUCCAGCCAUGCCGCGUGAGUGAAGAAGGCCCUCGGGUUGUAAAGCUCUUUUGUCCGGAAAGAAAAGCAUCGGGUUAAUACCCCGGUGUUCUGACGGUACCGGAAGAAUAAGCACCGGCUAACUUCGUGCCAGCAGCCGCGGUAAUACGAAGGGUGCAAGCGUUACUCGGAAUUACUGGGCGUAAAGCGUGCGUAGGUGGUUCGUUAAGUCCGAUGUGAAAGCCCUGGGCUCAACCUGGGAAUGGCAUUGGAUACUGGCGGGCUAGAGUGCGGUAGAGGAUAGUGGAAUUCCUGGUGUAGCAGUGAAAUGCGUAGAGAUCAGGAGGAACAUCCGUGGCGAAGGCGACUGUCUGGACCAGCACUACACUAGGCAC
Molecule: ribosomal RNA, 759 nt
Filed under: uncultured bacterium
Lineage: Bacteria
Description: bacterial SSU rRNA
Rfam family: Bacterial small subunit ribosomal RNA
Source: RNAcentral